Misgurnus anguillicaudatus (oriental weatherfish) is the source of this 1728-nucleotide long non-coding RNA. RefSeq lists it as uncharacterized. NCBI's taxonomy places the organism in Eukaryota, Metazoa, Chordata, Actinopteri, Cypriniformes, Cobitidae. The record is from RefSeq and is a predicted model, not a curated record.
UGUUUCAAUUCACUGUUAAAUAGCAAUAUUUAUAGCAGUAUUGUGCAUAAUCCACAUCAACUACAGGGUUUUUUUCAGGGUUUUUUGCGAUUGCUGUUUUGCGAUUAUUUAUUUUAUAAAACGCUGGGUUAUCGUUAACGUGUGCUCAUUAUAUUAAGCUGUAAAAAAACACUGAAAAACUUUUAGGCCGUGUGGUGCGAAAUCUGAACUUGGGCCAUCAAGCCACGAGUGUGUUUAUCUGAAAAUCGGACGGAUGCACAAUAUUUUAUGAUCUGUAAUCACAGAUAGACAUACAGUAUAUAAAGUAAGAGGAGGAGAUCGAUUUUAUCGGUGGAAAAAUGAAUCAUGUGGUGUAAUAACGUUUGGCGAUGUGAUUUUAUUACCAGUUAGCCACAGAUAUUAUUUAAACUGCGUGAUUAAACUAUUGUUGCUGUCGUAUGACAGUGGUAAUAUCAUGGUUAUGGUUUUACUAAAAUUAAUAUGAUUUUUUCCUAAAUAAAAUCCAGCUAAGACCAGCAUAAGCUGGUUCAAGGUGGCAGUAGCUGGUUUAAGCUGGUCCAACCAGCCAAAUCCAGCUAGAACACAAACACAGCUAGACCAGCUUGCUACACCAGCUAAAACUAAACUGGGAGACCAGCUUUUGCUGGUCUUUACGAAUUUUUCAGUAGGGAUAAGAAAGAAAACAAAUGACUGACAAGCAGAGAACAUGUUAUUCAGAAACAAGUCUGGGUUUUAAUCUGCCAGGACACGACAAGCAGACGGACAGCUGUAGGGCUGUUUCUGACCAUCAGUCAGCAAAAUUCAUGACGUCAAAAGCGACCACCACCACAGAUUCUCAGCAGUUGUUCUCAGGUAAGAGUGAAAGCGAGAGGUCAACCUGCCAUGAACUCCACUGAUUGCUUGUUAAAAAUUGGAGGUACGCCAACAUUAAUAUUUAUUGUUUUUAAUAUUUCUUUUUGUUUAUUUAUUUGAUAGUUAGCCGUAGUGUUUAAAUGCACUAAUAGCACUGUUAAAUAGCAAUAUUUAUAGCAGUAUUGUGCCUAAUUCAAGACACAUCAACUACAACUGCUGGGUUAAAAUGACCCACUGCUGGGUGAAUGCUGAGUGAAUGAAAAACUGAGUGAAUGCGAUUUUAAAAUGAAGGCACUUUAAGGCCAUGUCAGGGUUUUUCCUGGGUCAAAAUUGGUCUUCAGUGGUGGCUUACUGACAUGGUCAUCCACACACAGCAAAGAGUACCCUAGUACCCAAUGAUCCACACGCCCAAUAUUGACAAUAAAUGUUACAUUGAAAGGGGUGGUUCAAUGGUAUGUCAUGCAUUCUGACUUAUUAACACAGUUAUAGAGUUGUUUCCUCGUGCUAAACGUAGGCAAAGUGUCAAAAAAGCAGUUGGGCGUGUUACAGAGUAUUUCCGUGCCAAAUGCACUUCGCCAGGGUUCGUACAAGUUUCGGAAAGUUUUUUCGAUUACGGGUCCAGCUGACGUUUCAGGGGUUUCUAUACGUAUCACUUAUUUUUAUGGGCACUUUCCCCAGAAAACCCCGCCCACCUGUCAAUCAGCGGGAGACGCUAGAACUUACAAACAUCACAUCACACGACAGCUUUGUUUAAUUUCAAAACUCAACAAUGGCACGAAAGAAAAAGUGUGUUUUUGGAUGUAAGGAGAAUAAAGUCAGCCUUAUGAAAACAAUGGAUAUAGUUUAUUAUCCGGGGUAGCAGCGGAGUUUUGCGUG